RNAcentral lists this non-coding RNA (201 nucleotides) under Candidatus Adiutrix. Lineage: Bacteria; Pseudomonadati; Thermodesulfobacteriota; Desulfarculia; Candidatus Adiutricales; Candidatus Adiutricaceae. The record is from RNAcentral.
UAUAUAAUUUAAUUGAUAGGCGUAAAUUAGUUGCAUAAUAGGGAAUCUCGCAUAAAUCGAGAACGGACUCACCGCUGUAACUAAGGAUAUUAAGACGCAUUAAAGUCACUGGUUAUAAUAUAUUAAUAUAUAAUGAUCGGGAAGACCCAGUUAAAUCAAUACUCCGAAAAUUAGAAAAUCUGCUUAUUAAAAUAUACCCUA